This is a non-coding RNA of Caenorhabditis tropicalis, 46 nucleotides long. NCBI's taxonomy places the organism in Eukaryota, Metazoa, Nematoda, Chromadorea, Rhabditida, Rhabditidae. The record is from Rfam.
CCAACGGCCCUCUUUAGGGCCACAAUUCAUGUAAUCCUACUAAUGU